This is a long non-coding RNA of Manis pentadactyla (Chinese pangolin), 1140 nucleotides long. RefSeq lists it as uncharacterized. The transcript is spliced from 2 exons. The record is from RefSeq and is a predicted model, not a curated record. Lineage: Eukaryota; Metazoa; Chordata; Mammalia; Pholidota; Manidae.
AUUUUACAGCAUCUUACUAUGCAGAUGGACAGUGACUGUGAAGGGGUAUGUGGGGGGGACUUGGUGAAGGGGGGAGCCUAGUAAACAUAAUGUUCUUCAUGUAAUUGUAAAUUAAUGAUACAAAAUAAAUAAAUAAAUAAAUAAAUCGAUACUACAGUCUAUAUGCAAACUACCCUGACUGAUCCAUAAACGUCCUUGACUUGACAGAUCUUGAUUUUCUCUUCCAAAUUCUGCCCGAUUCAUGCUCUCUCCCCUCCCUGUUGCUCUGGCCCCGGUCUAAGUCAUCAUCCUUGACCCCCUGUUGGCCACCCAUAGUCCUUUCUCCUGGUGGCAGCCUGGGCAAACCUUUACAAGUGUAAAUCAAAUCAUGUCACUCCCCUGCUGAAAACCUUCCAGUGGCUUCCCAUCCUCCUUAGACCAGAAGGCAAACUCUUACCUUGGCUUCCAAGACCCUGUCAGAUCCGGCCUGCUGUACUCUCUCUGCCUUCACUUUGGAUGGCCAUUCCCAUCCCUCAUGACACUCCAGGCCUCCCAACUACAGCUUACUCCCAACUCCAGGACUUUGCCCUGGCCGUUCCCUGCUUCCAGGAACACUGUUCCCUCAGAUAUGGGCAUGACUCCCUCACUUCAGUCAGGUCUCUGAUGAAAUGUUUUCUUCUCAGAGAGGGGUUCCCUGAUCACCCUAAAAUCACCCCAUCACUCUCUAUCGCUUCCUCUUGAGGUCGGGCAGGGAUAUGGGACAAGCAUCAUGACUAAGUUUUUCUGCCUAUGAUGAAAAAUGCCAAGAUAUAAACAGCAUAGUAAGAACAGGAGAGACUCCAUCUUAAAGCUAAGAUUCCAUUAAAAACAACAACAACAGGGAGUUAGGAGGUAAGAUUUCUAACAUAUUUUAUGGUAACCAAUCAAUAACCUCACCUAUCUUAAGGUAGGGCAAGCAGUCCUAAAUGAUAAAAGAACAGGAUCAAGAAAUUCCUUAUGUUAGGUUUAUCUUACAGAAUAUCUAGAGGACAGACUGUGGAUAUUGGUAAAUGUCUCUCACAGGAGACAGAUAUCAUAAGAAUGCAACUGAAGCCUACCCACCCCACCCCCUGCCACCCUUUACCCCAUUCUUGAAAGCUUUAUUAAAAGACGGAAUCCUAA